This 278-nucleotide long non-coding RNA is filed under the name Gallus gallus (chicken). Lineage: Eukaryota; Metazoa; Chordata; Aves; Galliformes; Phasianidae. The record is from RNAcentral.
GUUCUGGGAAUCUCCAUAUCAGUGAUCCAGAUAGCUAUCUUCUCAUAUAUGAAAUUCAGUAUCAUGAUGAUGACAAAAUUGAGGCAAGAGGCUGUGACUGAAGUUGCCAGCUGAGGGGUUAGUAAUCCACUGAUGGGCUGUAGACUCUGAGUAUUUUCCAUGAGGCUGGCAAAGGCAGCAUACACUGCAAGGCGAUACACAAUCACAGCUAUCAUGCUAGCUAUGAUCAGAGACACCUAAGGAAAGGACAGAUUUCAGACACAGCUCAGUAUAGCUAU